AACGAACGCUGGCGGCAUGCCUAACACAUGCAAGUCGAACGAGACCUUCGGGUCUAGUGGCGCACGGGUGCGUAACGCGUGGGAACCUUCCCUUAUGUUCGGAAUAACUCCCCGAAAGGGGUGCUAAUACCGGAUAAUGUCUUCGGACCAAAGAUUUAUCGCCUUUGGAUGGGCCCGCGUUGGAUUAGCUAGUUGGUAGGGUAAAAGCCUACCAAGGCGACGAUCCAUAGCUGGUUUGAGAGGAUGAUCAGCCACACUGGGACUGAGACACGGCCCAGACUCCUACGGGAGGCAGCAGUGGGGAAUAUUGGACAAUGGGCGAAAGCCUGAUCCAGCAAUGCCGCGUGAGUGAUGAAGGCCUUAGGGUUGUAAAGCUCUUUUACCCGGGAUGAUAAUGACAGUACCGGGAGAAUAAGCUCCGGCUAACUCCGUG
This 433-nucleotide ribosomal RNA is filed under the name uncultured bacterium. RNAcentral's name for it is "partial 16S ribosomal RNA". It matches the Rfam family "Bacterial small subunit ribosomal RNA", at positions 29 to 507 of the family's 1533-position model. The record is from RNAcentral.